Molecule: long non-coding RNA, 1163 nt
Filed under: Cicer arietinum (chickpea)
Lineage: Eukaryota; Viridiplantae; Streptophyta; Magnoliopsida; Fabales; Fabaceae
Description: long non-coding RNA (CARI_LNC001223)
Source: RNAcentral
ACAAUCUACAGAAGAUCUUGAGAAAUACUUUGGUGUAUCUAUUCUUCACAAAAAUGCCAAUAGAGGAACUUAUCAGUUUGUGCGGGACAAAGUUAGCCAACAUACUAGUUUUUGGAAGUCUAAGAUCUUAUCGUUUGAAGGCCAUGUUAACUCUUGCUAAAUCAGUAAUCCAAACGCUCCUGACAUACGUUAUGCAAAUUGUCCUCUUAUCUAAAGCAAUUUAAGGGAAAAUUGUCGUGGUUUUAUUUGGGGUGAUCAUGAUACUAAGAAAAAGGCCAAUCUUAUUGCUUGGAAUAAAGUGUGAACUCCUAAGAAGUCUGGUGGUUUGGGUUAGUGAAUCAUGAGGACUGGAAAUCUUGCGUACAUGAUGAGUGAAAGUUAGAAGUUUUGCACUCAACGUCACCUAUUGUGGGAAGAUAUUAUGAUGAGGAAUUACAUUAUGGUAUCAACACUCUUCCCAAAGUUGAUAAAAAUUGAUGGACAGUAACUUUUGGCGUGGUACAUUCUUGGUUCAGGUAAGUUUGUUGAAAUAUUGGCAUGACAUUUGGGCAUCUUCCCCUCUUUCUCUUGUGAAUUCUGCUAUGAAACUCAUUUUUCCUUGAAUGUGUUAAAAGUGUGGUUCAAUAUGUUGAUAGUAGGAGAAGAUGGAAUCUUCAUGAUGUCGCACAUGUUCUUUUCUUUACUCUCCUCCACCUCAGUAGGGUUUUGGUGAAGAUAGUUUAGCUUGGGAGUUGGGGAACCAUGGUGUCUUUUCUUUAUCAUCUGCUUAUAAUUCCAUUUAUGGGUUCAAUGAUUAUUUGUUGCAACCUAUCUUUCGAGUUAUUUGGUGUUGGAAGGGUCCUCAUAGGAUCGUAUGUUUUCUUUGGACGCUUUGACAUGAGUCCUUGUUGACAAAUGGAAAUCAGUUUCGAAGGAAGAGGGUAGAUUAUGAGGCGCGUCCUUUGUGUAAUGCUUCUAUUCAGAACCACUUCCUUCUUUAUCAGAUAUUUUUUAAAUGCCUUUCCCCUAAUUUUAUGUUUGUUUUCUUAGUUGAUUUGAAUUGGAAAUAUGGGUUACUUAGGAAUCUUGUUGAUGUCUCUAUUACUCAUGCUAUCCUUGGCGUCUGAUUUUUGGAGUGCUGCUGGAUAACAUUUGGAAAGGGAGGAAUGAAAAUGUUUUUCAGG